Molecule: ribosomal RNA, 509 nt
Filed under: Ascomycota sp. CJL-2014
Lineage: Eukaryota; Fungi; Ascomycota
Description: eukaryotic LSU rRNA
Rfam family: 5.8S ribosomal RNA (bases 149-302)
Source: RNAcentral
CAGCGGUUAGGAGCUUACACCCACCCGUGUUUACAUACUAUUGUUGCUUUGGCGGGCCGUGGCCUCCACUGCGGGCUCUGCUCGUGUGUGCCCGCCAGAGAACCAAACUCUGAAUGUUAGUGAUGUCUGAGUACUAUCUAAUAGUUAAAACUUUCAACAACGGAUCUCUUGGUUCUGGCAUCGAUGAAGAACGCAGCGAAAUGCGAUAAGUAAUGUGAAUUGCAGAAUUCAGUGAAUCAUCGAAUCUUUGAACGCACAUUGCGCCCUGUGGUAUUCCGCAGGGCAUGCCUGUUCGAGCGUCAUUUAACCACUCACGCCUAGCGUGGUAUUGGGGCACGCGGUCUCCGCGGCCCUCAAAAUUAGUGGCGGCGCCGGUGGGCUCUAAGCGUAGUACAUACUCCCGCUAUAGAGUUCCCCCGGUGGCUCGCCAGAACCCCCAAUUUUUACAGGUUGACCUCGGAUCAGGUAGGGAUACCCGCUGAACUUAAGCAUAUCAAUAAGCGGAGGAA